This is a non-coding RNA of Peromyscus maniculatus bairdii (prairie deer mouse), 1558 nucleotides long. The record is from RefSeq and is a predicted model, not a curated record. NCBI's taxonomy places the organism in Eukaryota, Metazoa, Chordata, Mammalia, Rodentia, Cricetidae.
ACCUGGCCAAGCAAGGGCGAUGAUAUUAGAGCCUUCAACCAGGAGCUGCUGCUGGGCCUCACGCCUGCCGAGAGAAGCCCGUCUAACUGACCCCAUCUCCUGUGCCAACUACAUGGUGAGGCUUGUAGCUUUUUCUGUUCAAAGAGAGGGUCUCAUGCAGCUCAAGCUGGCCUUGAACUCAUUAUGUAGCUCAGGCUGGCCUUGAACUCAUGACCCUCUUAUUUCUUACCUCCCAAAUGCUGGGAUUAUAGCUAUGUUUCAUCAUGGCCAGCUUCUUAUUUCUCUUUAUUGCCUAACCUAACACAGUGUCAAGCACUCAAAAAUACCCAAUAAAUGCUUAAUAAAUGACUAGAUACCCUAAGUGUACAAAAAUAAGCAUUCAACCCUGGUAAGCCAGGUAAAUAUUAUGAUCUGGGUGAAUACAGAGCAGUGGUUCUCAACCUUCCUAAUACUGUGACCCUUUAAUGCAGUUCCUCCUGAUGUGGUGUCCUCCAACCACACAAUUAUCUCAUUGCUCUUCAUAACUGUAAUUUUGCUACUGCUAUGAAUUGUAAAUAUGUUUCCCAAUGGCUUUAGGCAACCCCUGUGAAAGGGUUGUUUGACACCCCCAAAAGGGGACAUGACCCACAGGUUGAGAACCACUGAUAGAGAUGUUUAUUGGGCUAGCCUAGUUAAAGUUUCAAACUUCUCGAGGUAACUCCCAUUCCUAGCUUCUCCAUGUUUAUCUGUCUCUUAUUUUUCAAGCCCCCCCCCAUGCAAUAAUGAAGAAAAACUGAUUAGAUUAAGAUCUUCCAUCUCCAGACAGUUAUCUUCUCAGUGACUUUCCCUACUUCCUUUUUGUAGUGACGGCUGAAGAGAUGGAGAUGGAAAGUACCAGAAUUGUUUAGAGGGGCUUUCCCAACCCAUAUCUGAUCUCUACCCUAUAGCUGAUGUUCCAUUAAUCACCUGCCCUUGCUCCCAGUCUCAAGCCAAUCAAAUCAGACCCACUUUUGAAACAAGCCAAGAUUUCCAAUCAACACAUGUAUGAUCUGCAUUUUACACAGCUUGAAAAGAUUUCAAUCUGGCAGGAACCUGAACAACUCAACAGCUCAAGCUGGCCUCCAAAAGGUGCCCUUGGAGGCCAGAAGAGAGAAGUGGACCCCUGGAGUUGGAGUUCUAGGUGGUUGGGAACUGAACUGGAUCCACAGGAAGAGAAAAACAGCACUCUUCAAACAGAUUACCAGUUUUAAAAAGGAGUUCUGGCCAGGGGUGGUGUGUGUGUGUGUGUGUGUGUGUGCGUGCGUGCGUGCGUGCGUGCGUGCGUGCGGUGAGUUGGAGUGUCUUCUUUGAUCACUCUCCACCAUAUAAAUUGAGGCAGGGUCUCUUACUGAACCCAGAUCUACUCCUUUUGACAGUCUGGCUACCUAGGCAGUCCCUGACUCCAGUUCAUGAGUGCUAGGGUUACAGGUAGACCAGCACCCACCUGCAAUUUCUGUGGGUUUUGGAGAGCCACACUCAGCUCUUCAUGCUUGCUAAGCCAUCUCUCCAACCCUCUUGACUUUUCAUUUUAUUCUUUUAU